UAGGGAAUAUUGGACAAUGGGGGCAACCCUGAUCCAGCCAUACCGCGUGAGUGAAGAAGGCCCUCGGGUUGUAAAGCUCUUUUGUCCGGAAAGAAAAGCUUCGGGUUAAUACCCCGGGGUUCUGACGGUACCGGAAGAAUAAGCACCGGCUAACUUCGUGCCAGCAGCCGCGGUAAUACGAAGGGUGCAAGCGUUACUCGGAAUUACUGGGCGUAAAGCGUGCGUAGGUGGUUGUUUAAGUCUGAUGUGAAAGCCCUGGGCUCAACCUGGGAAUGGCAUUGGAAACUGGGCAGCUAGAGUGCGGUAGAGGGUAGUGGAAUUCCAGGUGUAGCAGUGAAAUGCGUAGAGAUCGGGAGGAACAUCUGUGGCGAAGGCGACUGCCUGGACCAGCACUGACACUGAGGCACGAAAGCGUGGGGAGCAAACA
RNAcentral lists this ribosomal RNA (427 nucleotides) under uncultured bacterium. Its description in RNAcentral is "bacterial SSU rRNA". It matches the Rfam family "Bacterial small subunit ribosomal RNA", at positions 355 to 774 of the family's 1533-position model. The record is from RNAcentral.